RNAcentral lists this ribosomal RNA (492 nucleotides) under uncultured bacterium. RNAcentral's name for it is "bacterial SSU rRNA". It matches the Rfam family "Bacterial small subunit ribosomal RNA", at positions 30 to 504 of the family's 1533-position model. The record is from RNAcentral.
CGAACGCUGGCGGCGUGCCUAAUACAUGCAAGUAGAACGCUGAAGAGAGGAGCUUGCUCUUCUUGGAUGAGUUGCGAACGGGUGAGUAACGCGUAGGUAACCUGCCUUGUAGCGGGGGAUAACUAUUGGAAACGAUAGCUAAUACCGCAUAACAAUGGAUUACACAUGUCAUUUAUUUGAAAGGGGCAAUUGCUCCACUACAAGAUGGACCUGCGUUGUAUUAGCUAGUAGGUGAGGUAACGGCUCACCUAGGCGACGAUACAUAGCCGACCUGAGAGGGUGAUCGGCCACACUGGGACUGAGACACGGCCCAGACUCCUACGGGAGGCAGCAGUAGGGAAUCUUCGGCAAUGGGGGCAACCCUGACCGAGCAACGCCGCGUGAGUGAAGAAGGUUUUCGGAUCGUAAAGCUCUGUUGUAAGUCAAGAACGAGUGUGAGAGUGGAAAGUUCACACUGUGACGGUAGCUUACCAGAAAGGGACGGCUAACUAC